ACGCUGGCGGCAGGCCUAACACAUGCAAGUCGAGCGGUAACAGGAAUUAGCUUGCUAAUUUGCUGACGAGCGGCGGACGGGUGAGUAAUGCCUAGGGAACUGCCCAGUCGAGGGGGAUAACAGUUGGAAACGACUGCUAAUACCGCAUACGCCCUACGGGGGAAAAGAGGGGACCUUCGGGCCUUCUGCGAUUGGAUGUACCUAGGUGGGAUUAGCUAGUUGGUGAGGUAAUGGCUCACCAAGGCGACGAUCCCUAGCUGUUCUGAGAGGAUGAUCAGCCACACUGGGACUGAGACACGGCCCAGACUCCUACGGGAGGCAGCAGUGGGGAAUAUUGCACAAUGGGCGCAAGCCUGAUGCAGCCAUGCCGCGUGUGUGAAGAAGGCCUUCGGGUUGUAAAGCACUUUCAGCGAGGAGGAAAGCUUAAGCGUUAAUAGCGUUUAGGUGUGACGUUACUCGCAGAAGAAGGACCGGCUAACUUCGUGCCAGCAGCCGCGGUAAUACGAGGGGUCCAAGCGUUAAUCGGAAUUACUGGGCGUAAAGCGUACGCAGGCGGUUUGUUAAGCGAGAUGUGAAAGCCCCGGGCUCAACCUGGGAACUGCAUUUCGAACUGGCAGACUAGAGUCUUGUAGAGGGGGGUAGAAUUUCAGGUGUAGCGGUGAAAUGCGUAGAGAUCUGAAGGAAUACCGGUGGCGAAGGCGGCCCCCUGGACA
RNAcentral lists this ribosomal RNA (713 nucleotides) under Vibrio sp. 1F01. Its description in RNAcentral is "bacterial SSU rRNA". It matches the Rfam family "Bacterial small subunit ribosomal RNA", at positions 33 to 735 of the family's 1533-position model. Lineage: Bacteria; Pseudomonadati; Pseudomonadota; Gammaproteobacteria; Vibrionales; Vibrionaceae. The record is from RNAcentral.